GAUGAACGCUGGCGGCGUGCCUAACACAUGCAAGUCGAACGAACAGACAAGGAGCUUUCCCUCUUUCCGUUAGCGGCGGGAGGGUGUGUAACACGUGGAUAACAUCCCUCUUUGACUGGGGUAACAUCGUGGGACAGGAGCGCUUACCGCGUAAUAUAUUUAACCGCAGGAUUCAGUAGAGAUGAACGGUUUUGCCGUCACUUAUAGAUGGAUCCGCGCCGGAUUAGCUAGUUGGUAAGGUAACGGCCUACCAAGGCAACGAUGCGUAGCCGACCUGAGAGGGUGACCGGCCACACUGGAACUGAGAACCGCUCCAGACUCCUACGGGAGGCAGCAGUAGGGAAUCUUCGGCAAUGGGCGAAAGCCUGACGGAGCAACGCCGCGUGGGUGAUGAAGGUCUUCGGAUCGUAAAACCCGGUUAUGGGGAAAGAACACCUGUGUAAGAAACUAUGGACGUCUUGACGGUACCUAAACAGAAAGCCACGGCUAACUACGUG
This 497-nucleotide ribosomal RNA is filed under the name uncultured bacterium. RNAcentral's name for it is "partial 16S ribosomal RNA". It matches the Rfam family "Bacterial small subunit ribosomal RNA", at positions 28 to 507 of the family's 1533-position model. The record is from RNAcentral.